UGGGGAAUAUUGCACAAUGGGGGAAACCCUGAUGCAGCGACGCCGCGUGAACGAAGAAGGUAUUCGUAUCGUAAAGUUCUGUCCUAUGGGAAGAUAAUGACAUUACCAUAGAAGAAAGCUCCGGCUAAAUACGUGCCAGCAGCCGCGGUAAUACGUAUGGAGCGAGCGUUGUCCGGAAUUAUUGGGCGUAAAGGGUACGCAGGCGGUUUAAUAAGUCGAAUGUUAAAGAUCGGGGCUCAACCCCGCAAAGCAUUGGAAACUGAUAAACUUGAGUAGUGGAGAGGAAAGUGGAAUUCCUAGUGUAGUGGUGAAAUACGUAGAUAUUAGGAGGAAUACCAGUAGCGAAGGCGACUUUCUGGACACAAACUGACGCUGAGGUACGAAAGCGUGGGGAGCAAACAGG
RNAcentral lists this ribosomal RNA (403 nucleotides) under bacterium. RNAcentral describes it as "partial 16S ribosomal RNA". It matches the Rfam family "Bacterial small subunit ribosomal RNA", at positions 355 to 776 of the family's 1533-position model. The record is from RNAcentral.